CCUCGACACAGAGACGCAGAAAUCACAGCAACACCUAAAACGUGUGUUAUUUUACUGUAUCUAGGCCUAAAUACCGGACUGGCUGAAACUACAAUCAGCACAUAGAGAGGUCCCCACUCCACACAAACACAUUUGGAAAGCGCUGACUAAACCAGUCUUUUUAUUUUAUGUCCUUAUAUCCAUGAGAAGACGUUUGUGUGAUUCCUCUCCUGAUGGGUGGAGCGAGGAGCAGGAAAAGGAGAAAAAAUGAAAGAGGAGAAAAAGAAGUGAUUGGAAUGAGCCCUGACUGACCUGAUGAACUACCUCCCAUGAUGCUAUUCUGGAGGCUUUGAACGGACAGGAUUCGCAGUGAACGGACAGGAUUUGCAGUAAACGGACAAUAUUCGCAGUAAACGGACAAUAUUCGCAGUGAACUGACAGGAUGCCUUUACUGCUUACCUGGUAUUUCUCCAGAUCGAGACACCAUCGUUUCCGUGGAGAUGUCCUGGGUACGGCGAACACUGAGGGGUGGUCUGAAACUAUCCAAUCAGCAGGACAGAUUGGACCGGGAUCUAGAGUGAGUUCAGAGAACACAGAGAGAUGUGCAUUAAUAGUAUACCAUGAACAGAAGCACAUAAGCACUCACUAUUCAUGCUUACUGACAGGUAAAACAACAGCUGCACACUCCAUGUAAAUGCUGACUCAUCAGAAGAGACACGAAACUGGAUCAGGGCUGGUCAAGCACAUACACGGAGUGAACAGGGGAACUAAGGACGCAAUGAUAUGAGAGGUUAUGCUGUGAGGACGAAGUGCAAUAUGGUGUUUGGACAACUCAAAAUAAAUAUAGAGGGUGAGAAAACAGAUGCUGUUGAAUGAUUUGAGCUUAACUUUUUGAGAAGCUUAACUUAUCCUCGUAUAUCAAGUAUAUCCCAAUAUAAUUCAGUGCUGUACAGGGUUAUUAAUUGGCCUUGCCUAAUUAUCAUAUGGUGUCCAGAAGUGAUUUAGAUAAAGGACAUUAUUUUAGGCUGUAAUUAGGAUCUUAACCAGAAACCUUCUGACUAAAAUAACCGAAUGACCCCGCUCUGUCACCUUUGUUGCACUGACCUACACCAGCAUUGCCCCCUUCCUUACCGUACUGGUGGUGAGGCGGUGGUUAUAGCCACAAGGUGAAUUUAUGGUGCAGAUUGGGGGACACUGGGGUUUGGCUGCAGAGCAUUGUG
Molecule: long non-coding RNA, 1199 nt
Organism: Conger conger (European conger)
Lineage: Eukaryota; Metazoa; Chordata; Actinopteri; Anguilliformes; Congridae
Exons: 3
Source: RefSeq, a predicted model, not a curated record